CGGCAGGUUAAGGCCUUACGGGCUGUAGCCAGAGGGAAACCGAGUCUUAAUAGGGCGAAAUUGUCGCGGGCGGUAGACGCGAAACCUAGUGAUCUACCCAUGAGCAGGUUGAAGCGCGGGUCAUACCGCGUGGAGGACCGAACCCACUUGGGUUGAAAACCGAGGGGAUGACUUGUGGGGAGGAGUGAAAGUCUAAUCAAACGUGGAGAUAUCUCGUUCUCUCCGAAAUAGCUUUUGGGCUAGCCUUGAGCCACUACACACCGGGGGUAGAGAGACUGAAUCGGUUUGGGG
This 291-nucleotide ribosomal RNA is filed under the name Lingulaulax polyedra. RNAcentral's name for it is "Lingulodinium polyedra partial Bacterial large subunit ribosomal RNA". It matches the Rfam family "Bacterial large subunit ribosomal RNA", at positions 638 to 925 of the family's 2925-position model. Lineage: Eukaryota; Dinophyceae; Gonyaulacales; Lingulodiniaceae. The record is from RNAcentral.